CAAAUACUCCCUCCGUUCGGAAUUAUUUGUACAAAAAUAGAUGUAUCUAGACGUAUUUUAGUUUUAGAUACAUUCAUUUUCAAAACAAGUAAUUUCGAACGGAGGGAGUACGUC
This is a non-coding RNA of Triticum aestivum (bread wheat), 114 nucleotides long. Lineage: Eukaryota; Viridiplantae; Streptophyta; Magnoliopsida; Poales; Poaceae. The record is from Rfam.